Long non-coding RNA from Gopherus agassizii (Agassiz's desert tortoise), 1989 nucleotides. The record is from Ensembl. NCBI's taxonomy places the organism in Eukaryota, Metazoa, Chordata, Testudines, Testudinidae.
CCGUAGAGUAUUUCUCCAGAGGAACAUACCUGCAGAAAUGAAAUCAUGGUUUAUAUCUUUUCAAUGUCAAUUUAAAAAGUAUAGUGUGCUAUCUGGAUUUUCUGAAGGUAAUAAUGCCAGAGGAUGGAGAAAGGAAAUAUGCAGCAUGCAGUUCUGUAGCAUUAAAAAAAAAUCCAACUACAAGACAACCAAUUAAAUGAAAUUCAAAAAUGAUUUAUGACAUUUCUGAUAGACUAAUCAUAUCCCAGUACCCUAAAUACAGUGAUACAGACCCAUUAUUUAUUAAUAAUCCCUUUCCAAAUCUUGUACCACAGAGGGGCACAAUGUAUUUAUUGUGUUUGAUAACUGAUUUUCACUUUACAUUCAGAAGAACAUUCAACAGAAGAGGGCUAGGAAAGUCACUGGAGGGAACAAGUACAAAAAACAUUUUUGUUUAAAGACUACAUUUUGUGAAACAGUCAUCUUGUUAAGGCAAAAUAAUUGCUGACCAAGUUUAUGCUCCCCUUCAGUCAGUCUAUGUGCUUUUAAACUACAACUAUCUUAUGUCAAACAGCAAAAUAUUGCUACAACUAUACACUUAUUUUAAAUGCCACUUCCCUUUUCCUGCAAAGAUCAGUUAACAUUGGCCAAGAAAACCAGCGUGUGUGUAGAGAUUUUUAUAGAUCUAUACGGAUAAAAUUUCAACAGAAUAUGUAGGAUAUAACCCCUUUCGUAUCUCUGGAUUUGGCUGCAUUUUCCCUAUUCAGUGGAAUUAUCUUGUUCCAGUCAUUUAAAGCUCACAUACUUUACAUAAAAUAUACACAGGAUGCACAAUUUUCUGGAAACGUACCUUGUAAUAAAUACUUCCUAUGAGUUCAGUUCUCCCCUCUUCAAGGGUGGAAUGGUAUUUCAUCCCUCAGCUCAAAAAUGGUAUGUUUUGCAAAUACACAAUUUAGGGAUAAUAAUUAAUACAAAUACCAUUUGCAUAGGGUCACUGUCCUUUUUCUUUUUAAUUCAACAAGUUGCAUUUUCUGAGGCAGAUGUUAUGUUCCAAACAGACUGUCUUAUAAAAGCCAUCCCUAUUUGGCAUGUGCCAAAAUCCCAAGCUGAGUGGCCUUUAAAUCUCUCAUGAAAACAAAUGACGAAUCCUUCUAGCCAAGAAUACUACACAAUUAAUACUCAAUGGUCUUAGAAAAUCUUAACCUUUAUUUGCCUGUUUAUAUUAGUGCUCCUCUCAUUUCUUUGCCCCAGUAUACUAGUUGGAUCAACAGAUUUCCCCAUAAACAUUUCAGUCAAAAAGGAUCUCUCUCAGCUGGCCAUCUUUGGAACUGUACUGUGUAGCCUGGAUGUAGGCAAACUCUCUUAGGCUUUGAAGCGUGGGUUUUCGAUAUUUGAAAAGCACAGUAAUACUGUAUACAGAAAAUGGCAUUCAAUAGCCUUGCCUUUUUAAACAAACAUUUUCAACUGCAAAUUCAUCUAUUUUCACAAUCAGAACAUUUUUGUCUGAAAAGUUUAUUUUAGUUUUCUGAACACUCUAAAGCAACCGUGCUUUAGAUGUUACAUAAGUGUCCAGAUAGGAUUAAACAAAAAUUAAAAUGUUCUAAAUUACAAAUGUUAACUCCUGUAAGAGCUUCAGAAAGGAAACAGACCAGAAAGGAGGACAUACACACAUUGUGAGGAAACCCCAAAGUUUCAUGCAAUGGCAGGCAAGAUGUAAAAAGCCACCCAAAUUCACACAUUUGUACACCAAAUCAUCAGAAAAAAGUACUCUGUAGUAAAUCUGUACAUCCAAAUACAUUUGGGAUCUACACCUAAGUUACAUUAUUUAAUGUUAUAUACACUUAUUACCACUUUAUAAUGUCUUAAGGAAAGCCUUCAUUCAAACCCAAACCAAAAAAAAUACUAACUUUGGAAAAAAAGGAGAAUCACUUUAGACAUUCAGUUAAAACGCUGGUUUUGUUUUAAUCUAGACCUCAAAACGUUUAAUAAAAACAAACAGCAUCCUCUUCA